RNAcentral lists this ribosomal RNA (543 nucleotides) under uncultured archaeon. RNAcentral describes it as "bacterial SSU rRNA". It matches the Rfam family "Archaeal small subunit ribosomal RNA", at positions 333 to 879 of the family's 1478-position model. The record is from RNAcentral.
CACCAGGCGCGAAAACUUUGCAAUGCACGAAAGUGUGACAGGGUCAUCCCGAGUGCCGACCGCUGAGGUUGGCUUUUACCCAGUCUAAAAAGCUGGGGGAAUAAGGAGAGGGCAAGUCUGGUGUCAGCCCCGCGGUAAUACCAGCUCUCCGAGUGGUGUGGACGUUUAUUGGGCCUAAAGCAUCCGUAGCUGGCUGAACAAGUCCCCUGUUAAACCCACCGAUUUAAUCGUUGGUCUGCGGGGGAUACUGCUCGGCUAGGGGACGAGAGAGGCAGACGGUAUUCCCGGGGUAGGGGUGAAAUCCUAUAAUCCCGAGAAGACCACCAGUGGCGAAGGCUGUCUGCUAAAACGCGCCCGACGGUGAGGGAUGAAAGCUGGGGGAGCGAACCGGAUUAGAUACCCGGGUAGUCCCAGCUGUAAACGAUGCAAACUAGGUGUUUGGACGGCCACGUGCCGUUCUAGUGCCGCAGGGAAGCUGUUAAGUCUGCCGCCUGGGGAGUACGAUCGCAAGAUUGAAACUUAAAGGAAUUGGCGGGGGAGCAC